ACGGAUUCUGUCAAAUGUCGCCGUCUGGCGGACAUCAAUGCUUCCUACAUGCAGAAACCGCUAGACCCUGACGUCAUCACGCUGCGCUUCAGCACACGCUCCAAAUGACAUAUUGUUUACGUGGAGUUCUCUGCUCCGUUGUCCCAUCAAACGUGUGUUUUUUCGCCACCAAUUCCACAUGGAUCGCUUUGAAAAUGAGCAGGACAAAGACACGUCUUAUUUCCUCUGUCCCCGAGGACAUGGAUUCGUCGCAAUUGACGUAAGUUCGCUGCCAGCUUACGGCUAACGGCUAGCUUUCAGGCUCUCGCUCGGAGCCACUUAUCCCCAAAUUCGCCCCCAAAUCCCGCUCACUUUAGACUCUUUCCUCCUCGCUCAUUAAAUUAUGCGUGACAGGAAAACGUUUCGCUGCUUUUGCUAAAGAUCAAAGCCUUGUAGUGAAUUCGGUCCGUGUUUGGCGACUCCUAAUCUUAAACGAUCCCUCAUUUUAGCGUUGUGAAUAGAAACUCGGUGUGCUCGUUCUCCAGGAUGACUGCUCACUCAACGCCUUUAAAGAGAAGAAAUGUAGAUCGAGGAUUCGGCCUGGAGCUGAUCCAAAUCAGCGGAGACAACAAGAAGAGCUGCAGACAACAAUGCACGUUACCUGUUUCUUUCAUAGGUGUCUUUACUUCCCUCUCUCUCCUACCUAAUACAUGAAUCUAACGGAUUCUGUCAAAUGUCGCCGUCUGGCGGACAUCAAUGCUUACUACAUGCAGAAACCGCUAGACCCUGACGUCAUCACGCUGCGCUUCAGCACACGCUCCAAAUGACAUAUUGUUUACGUGGAGUUCUCUGCUCCGUUGUCCCAUCAAACGUGUGUUUUUUCGCCACCAAUUCCACAUGGAUCGCUUUGAAAAUGAGCAGGACAAAGACACGUCUUAUUUCCUCUGUCCCCGAGGACAUGGAUUCGUCGCAAUUGACGAUGACUGCUCACUCAACGCCUUUAAAGAGAAGAAAUGCAGAUCGAGGAUUCGGCCUGGAGCUGAUCCAAAUCAGCGGAGACAACAAGAAGAGCUGCAGACAACAAUGCACGUUACCUGUUUCUUUCAUAGGUGCACAAAACGUUACUUUCACUGAUUUUGUGCCAUUGUAAAUCGUUUUCAUCUUUCUUGCCCAUUUUGUUUUAUUGUGUGGGAGGGUUUUUUUCUACUUUGUAUGUUUUCAUGAAUAAAUUUACCGAAACGCAGUCAAAUAUACGGAUUUUUCUCUUCUAGCUAGCUGUACCGAACUUGGACUGAUUAAACUGUAUUUUUGCCACCUCUAACUCUGACUCUGCUCCUGUGUCCACUACACUACCACCUCCUGACAGUUUGGGUUUAUUUUUACGGAUAUACCGACUCUGGCACUGCUUUACAGGAUGGACAGGUUAGGGUAUAAACUAAGCUUUAAGAAAAAGAAUUACAAUUAUAAAACGAAGAUUAUAUAAUAUGCCCAACAGAACAUGAACAGACAGAGAGAGGGAGAAAAAGUGAACACUGAAGAGUUGAUUUAGAUGCAGAGCGACAUGGCAUCAGAGUUAUAACUUGUGUUUCCUGUUUUAUUUUGGUAAUGUUUGAGUUUCCGGUUGUUCACUGCUUUGUCCUCUCAUUCCAGGUGUCUUUACUUCCCUCUCUCUCCUACCUAAUACAUGAAUCAAACGGAUUCUGUCAAAUGUCGCCGUCUGGCGGACAUCAAUGCUUCCUACAUGCAGAAACCGCUAGACCCUGACGUCAUCACGCUGCGCUUCAGCACACGCUCCAAAUGACAUAUUGUUUACGUUGAGUUCUCUGCUCCGUUGUCCCAUCAAACGUGUGUUUUUUCGCCACCAAUUCCACAUGGAUCGCUUUGAAAAUGAGCAGGACAAAGACACGUCUUAUUUCCUCUGUCCCCGAGGACAUGGAUUCGUCGCAAUUGACGUAAGUUCGCUGCCAGCUUACGGCUAACGGCUAGCUUUCAGGCUCUCGCUCGGAGCCACUUAUCCCCAAAUUCGCCCCCAAAUCCCGCUCACUUUAGACUCUUUCCUCUUCGCUCAUUAAAUUAUGCGUGACAGGAAAACGUUUCGCUGCUUUUGCUAAAGAUCAAAGCCUUGUAGUGAAUUCGGUCCGUGUUUGGCGACUCCUAAUCUUAAACGAUCCCUCAUUUUAGCGUUGUGAAUAGAAACUCGGUGUGCUCGUUCUCCAGGAUGACUGCUCACUCAACGCCUUUAAAGAGAAGAAAUGUAGAUCGAGGAUUCGGCCUGGAGCUGAUCCAAACCAGCGGAGACAACAAGAAGAGCUGCAGACAGCAAUGCACGUUACCUGUUUCUUUCAUAGGUGUCUUUACUUCCCUCUCUCUCCUACCUAAUACAUGAAUCUAACGGAUUCUGUCAAAUGUCGCCGUCUGGCGGACAUCAAUGCUUACUACAUGCAGAAACCGCUAGACCCUGACGUCAUCACGCUGCGCUUCAGCACACGCUCCAAAUGACAUAUUGUUUACGUUGAUUUCUCUGCUCCGUUGUCCCAUCAAACGUGUGUUUUUUCGCCACCAAUUCCACAUGGAUCGCUUUGAAAAUGAGCAGGACAAAGACACGUCUUAUUUCCUCUGUCCCCGAGGACAUGGAUUCGUCGCAAUUGACGUAAGUUCGCUGCCAGCUUACGGCUAACGGCUAGCUUUCAGGCUCUCGCUCGGAGCCACUUAUCCCCAAAUUCGUCCCCAAAUCCCGCUCACUUUAGACUCUUUCCUCCUCGCUCAUUAAAUUAUGCGUGACAGGAAAACGUUUCGCUGCUUUUGCUAAAGAUCAAAGCCUUGUAGUGAAUUCGGUCCGUGUUUGGCGACUCCUAAUCUUAAACGAUCCCUCAUUUUAGCGUUGUGAAUAGAAACUCGGUGUGCUCGUUCUCCAGGAUGACUGCUCACUCAACGCCUUUAAAGAGAAGAAAUGUAGAUCGAGGAUUCGGCCUGGAGCUGAUCCAAAUCAGCGGAGACAACAAGAAGAGCUGCAGACAGCAAUGCACGUUACCUGUUUCUUUCAUAGGUGUCUUUACUUCCCUCUCUCUCCUACCUAAUACAUGAAUCUAACGGAUUCUGUCAAAUGUCGCCGUCUGGCGGACAUCAAUGCUUACUACAUGCAGAAACCGCUAGACCCUGACGUCAUCACGCUGCGCUUCAGCACACACUCCAAAUGACAUAUUGUUUACGUGGAGUUCUCUGCUCCGUUGUCCCAUCAAACGUGUGUUUUUUCGCCACCAAUUCCACAUGGAUCGCUUUGAAAAUGAGCAGGACAAAGACACGUCUUAUUUCCUCUGUCCCCGAGGACAUGGAUUCGUCGCAAUUGACGUAAGUUCGCUGCCAGCUUACGGCUAACGGCUAGCUUUCAGGCUCUCGCUCGGAGCCACUUAUCCCCAAAUUCGUCCCCAAAUCCCGCUCACUUUAACCUCUUUCCUCCUCGCUCAUUAAAUUAUGCGUGACAGGAAAACGUUUCGCUGCUUUUGCUAAAGAUCAAAGCCUUGUAGUGAAUUCGGUCCGUGUUUGGCGACUCCGACUAACGGCUAACUUUCAGCUAAAAUAUAUGUGUAAAAAGUUAGUUAUUUUGUAUUUGUGAUACUUUAAAUAAAUCUUUUCGUGUUUAAGAAGAAUGUUAAUGAAGAAUGUUAAGAUGCAGUGAAUGAAUGAAUGAAUGAAUGACUGGUUCAUUUAUAAAGUGUUUAAACUUGGAAAAAAAAACAGGAACUUGUGUGACACCUGACGCCAGGUGCUGACAAACAGUUACUUCCGUUUGUGGUUGUGUGCAGAGGCAGUCCCCGCAGGCCCUACCACUUAUUCAAUUAGUCCCGUCCAAUCAGAGUCCAGUUUGAUUCGCGCCAAAAAUCAGUAGAAAAUCAGUUGCACCUGCUGCCCAUUCUCGAGGAGAAGGCUCAGCCAAUAGCAGGGCAGAACUGUAGCUCAGGUGCGGCUUAUAAGGCGCCGAGGUGACACUGGUUCGGUUCGUUCCAGCAACGCAGGACACACCUGUGAUGUUUGAGAUGUCCGCGAGACGGUUCAGGCCUAGUCGGCUAGAGACAGGCGGCGCACGUGUUUGGAGCAAUCCAGAGAGAAAAUGGCCGGUGUGGGAGCCAGGUCAGACGGAGGGUUCCCGAGCAGCCGAUACAAUGUGGGAGAAAGCACCGCACCUGGCGUCGCUUAUCUUUUCCACGUGUGUGCGUGCGUGCGUGCGUGCAGGCGUUUGUAUCUCUGUGUUGGUAGUGCAGGUUAGUGUCUUUUGCUUGGUUUAGAAGUUUUGUAACGGGUGUAGCUGCUUUAGAGUUUGGCUCUGGCCAGGUGUUGGCGAGGCUUAGUUGUUGAUUGGUUAGUGUGGAAGUCUCGCGGGUCUGCGUGGGUUUAGAGCGUGCGUUAGCCGUUGUCGGGUUGUUGUAUCAGCGUUGUCGGUUUGUGGAAGCCUGUAGUCAGAUAGUGUUGGCAACAUGGGUUGAAGUGUGAAGUGUUGUUGGUCUGAGUUGUGAGUAGUUGUCAGUGUAGGUUUUCUGUGUGUCAGAUGUCUUUGGUUUCUGGUGUAGAAGUUGUCCAUAGUGGUGUGUUGUUGAUGGAGGUGUGUGGUUAGCUGUUCAGGUGUGGUACAUUGGCCUGUAGGUGUAUGUGUGUGUGUCUGUGUGAGUUUUGGAAGUACAGGCUUGUGUUUUCAGCUCAGUUCAGAGGCUUUGUGUAUCCAGGUGGUUUGGAGUUUGGCUCUGAGUGUUCAGGGUUAGUUGUGAUGGAUUCAGUGUGUGAACAGCAUCAGGCUCAGUGUAGGUUCAGAUUGUUAGUUUGUGUUGUCGGUGGGUGAAAGCAUAUUAUACAGUUGUGAUCCAGACACAACUGUGUUUAUGUGGAAGCCUGUAGUCAGAUAGUGUUUGCAGCAUGGGCUGAAGUGUGAAGUGUUGUUGGGCUUAGUUGUGUAUGUGGUUGUGGCCAGGCUUAGCUGUGAGUGUGAGUUCUCUCUACAGGAAGGAUGAGCUGAUCCAGAGGGCCAUCAGAAGCAGGGUGAGAGAAAGCUUUUAACUUUACUCAGUGUUUCUAUGUUGUCUUUGUUUUUUGUGUUUUGUGUUUUGUGUUUUGUGUUUUGUUUUCUUUGUGUGUUCCACAGGUGGCUGCAUCUGACUGAGUGGGGCUCGAACUUUGAGGCUGUGGGCAACGUGGAGGUCUGGUGAGACUCCUGCUGCAGCUGGAAGGUAAAGUAAAACAUCAAAGGGUCAAGCUUUGACCUGAUUAGUGUCUGAAACCAGUGUGUUUUCAGCAGGAUGGAGGAGCUGGGUGAGAAGACUGCUGAAGACCAAUUGAGACCAGGUGAGCAAGAGCAACAAUGUGCUGUUUCUGCAUUUAUGCAUGCACUAAUGUUAGUGUGUUUGUGUGUGUGAGUGAGUGAGCGAGCUUUGUAGGUGUCUGCUGGGUGGAGCCAGGGACCAUCCUGCUGGUGAGGAUAGAGUGCCAUCCUCUGGGAGUAAGGGACACAUCCAGGCUGUGUUGUCUGAGCUCUGUUUGUGGAUGGCAGACCUUAUUUGGAGGCCAUGACAGACCAGGUGAGAGGAGGCCAUGACAGACCAGGUGAGAGGAGGCCAUGACAGACCAGGUGAGAGGAGGCCUUUUGAUUAAUGUUAAGUGUCUUUACACAUAUGCGUUAAUGUGUCUGUUUCUAGGUGUAUGUGGCUGAGUGGGGCUCCAUGUGCAGCCAUGUUAUAGUUUUUCUACACAUACAUUCCUUAAUUUGUGUUUUUGUGUGUGUGUCUGUGUGAGUGUUGGCUCUGAGUUUGGCUCUCUGAGUGUUCAGGGUUAGUUGUGAUGGAUUCAGUGUGUGAACAGCAUCAGGCUCAGUUGUGAUGGAUUCAGUGUGUGAACAGCAUCAGGCUCAGUGUAGGUUCAGAUUGUUAGUUUGUAGUUAUUCUUGUUGAUGGGUGAAAGCAUAUUCUACAGUUGUGAUCCGGACACAACUGUGUCUAUGUGGAAGCCUGUAGUCAGAUAGUGUUUUCAGCAUGUGUUGAAGUGUUGUUGGUCUUAGUUGUGGAUGUCAAAUGGGUCAGUGUAGGUUUACUAUGUCAGAUGUUGUUGGUUUCUGCUGUAGAAGCUGUCUAUAGUUGGGUAUUGUUGAUGGAGGUGUGUGGUUAGCUGUUCAGGUGUUGUGCAUCAGCCUGAAGGUGUGAGAGUGUUGGAAGUGCAGGUUUGUGUUUUCAGCUCAGUUUAGAGCCUUUGUUCUGUUUCCAGGUGUUUCGGAGUUUAGUUUUCUUUAAGUGUUGUCAAGGUUUAGUGUGUUAGAGAUGUCUUCAUGUAGAAGCCUCAGUAGUUUUGCUGAUGGAGGGGUGUGGUUAUCUGUUUAGGUGCUGUGCUUGGGCCUGUGUGUGUGGUUGGCAGGUUCUGGCUGAAUGGAGCUCCAACUGUGGUUCCAGGCUGCAGGCUGGCAUGAAAGGUCAUUGAGGUCAAAGUGGAGCUAAGAUGGAGGACCAGAUCCAGACAAGCUGAUCCAGAGGACCACAUCUAGAAGAGCUGAUCCAGAGGACCAUCAGGGACAAAAAUACUUCCUGUCUGAGGCAGUUGGUGUGUGUUCGGGCCAUGAAGAGGAAGAAUUGUGUAAAGCUUUGUCUCCUGCUGGACUGUUUGUAAAUAAAAAUUUGAUUUGUACCCCA
This is a long non-coding RNA of Toxotes jaculatrix (banded archerfish), 6641 nucleotides long. RefSeq lists it as uncharacterized. The transcript is spliced from 9 exons. The record is from RefSeq and is a predicted model, not a curated record. NCBI's taxonomy places the organism in Eukaryota, Metazoa, Chordata, Actinopteri, Toxotidae.